AUUGAACGCUGGCGGCAGGCCUAACACAUGCAAGUCGAGCGGAUGAAGGGAGCUUGCUCCUGGAUUCAGCGGCGGACGGGUGAGUAAUGCCUAGGAAUCUGCCUGGUAGUGGGGGAUAACGUCCGGAAACGGGCGCUAAUACCGCAUACGUCCUGAGGGAGAAAGUGGGGGAUCUUGGGACCUAAGGCAAUAGGAUAAGCCUAGGUCGGAUUGGCUAGUUGGUGGGGUAAAGGCCUACCAAGGCGACGAUCCGUAACUGGUCUGAGAGGAUGAUCAGUCACACUGGAACUGAGACACGGUCCAGACUCCUACGGGAGGCAGCAGUGGGGAAUAUUGGACAAUGGGCGAAAGCCUGAUCCAGCCAUGCCGCGUGUGUGAAGAAGGUCUUCGGAUUGUAAAGCACUUUAAGUUGGGAGGAAGGGCAGUAAGUUAAUACCUUGCUGUUUUGACGUUACCAACAGAAUAAGCACCGGCUAACUUCGUG
Molecule: ribosomal RNA, 484 nt
Filed under: uncultured bacterium
Lineage: Bacteria
Description: partial 16S ribosomal RNA
Rfam family: Bacterial small subunit ribosomal RNA
Source: RNAcentral